GAUUUCUCAGCUACUGCUCUAGUCCCAGGAGUUGCCCAAGUCCCGAAUAAAUUCUGUCUUGCUCAAACUUUUAAAAUUUAAUUCACCUAAGGAAUUUUCCUUUUAACAGUUUUCAUGUAGUUGGCAAGAACCAAAGUUGAACUCCAAUAGCCCAGGAGCAACCAGGCCUAGAUACUAGAAGUCUAUCCUGUUCCUGUCUUGCUGCAUCUGGGAAUUAUAGGAGACUUCUUAAAGGACCAUUCAGCAGCCAGUUGUGGUUGGGAAGUCAUCUAGAAGUAAUGAAUUAAGCAAGUUCAAAU
Heterocephalus glaber (naked mole-rat) is the source of this 299-nucleotide long non-coding RNA. The record is from Ensembl. Lineage: Eukaryota; Metazoa; Chordata; Mammalia; Rodentia; Bathyergidae.